GGACGCAGUUGACCACCUUGCAAACACCCACCAUCCCACAGGCCCCGACGCCAACGGCGUAAACCUCACAGCCGGUUACCGGACUCCGUUGCCAGGAUGACAUCCCUUCAAAAGCGUGCUACACGCUGCGACACGCCACACCAAGAGCUACUUAGCAGCAGCCAUCCCACACCGGAAGAGCACGGAAGCUGCGCUUGCGAGGCGACGGGAGACCAUGCUCGCCCAGUUCCGCACCGGCACCUGUCGGUGCCGUGCAUUACUGCAACGGCGGGUGGCUGGCAGUGGCGGCAUGGGGUGCCGAUGGUGUGCUGCCUACUGCUGCGCCGGUACUGUGGUGCCCCCAUCCCCCGUCUGUGUUUGCUAUGAGGGCGUCCGACCCGGUGCUGUGCCCGAUAUGCUACGCUUGAUUCGCGGAUCACUCGAGGAGGGUGGGCGAAGCACACGCUGUUUCACGCUAUGGCCUUGCACGCAGUAAUGUGGUUGCGCAUGCCUCGCUCGCGCCGCGUGGGCUCCUCACCUGUCUGCUGUCUAUGGCUGCCUCGUAUGCCCUCUCAGGAGGACAGGCCGUGCGCUCUUUCUCUCUCUGCGCUGGCGCGUGCCUAUCCACGGGUCCCUCCCGCUCAACCCGCCCGCGCCUACGAGAGGCGUGCGGCCCUGCGGAAAGGGUGGAAGACCCCCGCUGCCACGAACUCACAGCAGCGUCCCGCCUGCCGCGGUGCAUGCGUGCAGGCCACCCAGUCACGCCCCCUCCCCCUCCAGACACCGAGGUUGUCGUGCGGCAGGCCUCGGCGUGCAAGGAUGCGAGCUCGGAGCACAGGCGCUGUCAUGGAGAGCCGGCAUGGCGUAUCACGCCCACGCAAGGCAUCGAGAGGUCAGCCGCGCACGCGUGAUGGACGAGAAAGGCGCGAGGAGCUCCACACCAAUGAGCGCCACAGCGCAUACGCGCGCAACAUGCGGCGUCUCGGCCGUCCAACGGGGCGGGCUGAUGGGGCGCAGGUGCUGGAAGCGCGGCGAGAGCACCCCCGAACGGCACGAUCGAGCCCCUCCGACUGCCAUGCGGAGAGUCACCGCACCAUAUUAUGGGAUGCCGCUGCUGCAAGCGACUGGAGGGGGGAGGCAUGACGUGCAGGUGGCAGGGUGCAGGGUCUCGGAGGGCGCUGACCUGAGGCCGGCCGCCUUCCUCCUCGAGCUCCUGCGGCGCACACCUCGACCACCCCUUAUCGCCCGCACGACGGACGCCACCGCCUCCGCCCUCGAGCAGGACGCUGGGCGCGGCCCGCCUGGAUCAGGGCGUGCCGUCCAGCCGAGUCUCCGUGUGGGCCGAUUGGACGGCGGGCCGGCUUGUCCUAGUCGACAAGGAUUCCGCCGCACCCCUGCGAGGGUAGGUGAGCUGUGGUUGUGUGCGUCGAUCGGCUGACCUGUGUCUGGACGAAUGAGCAGGCUGCGCAGGCGAAGAGAGUGCAGUGGGCGUUGCGGUGUGCGUGGGAGAGCGCUCUCGACUCCUCUCACUCGUUGUCUUGUGCUAUCGUGCGGCCCUCUCUUGCACACGCGCGUCGGUGUCUCUGCAACGCAGCGUCUCUGUGGGCUCUUUUGUUGUUGUGUGUUCGCCGCUGCUGUGACGUCAUCGGGGCAUUGCUCUGUUGUGGCGCCUGCUCUUGUGCUUCUAGGUGUUUCCCUCUCUAUUUCGUUCUCCUUGUUGUGGUGUUCGCUUUUGGCGCGGCUCUGUAGCUCGAUUUUGGGCGAGGGAAGCGAAUUCAAUGGAAGAGGAAAGGACGCGAGAGGAAGAGGCGGGCCCCACAUUGUUGAGGGAACGUUGACGGAGUCACGGUGCACGCGCCGUGAACUGUACAUCGCUGUGCACAGAGCCUUUAGGCGAAUCGACCGGCUCUCAUGAGCAUUGGUCGGAUUGAUUGGUAUCACGUGCCACGAGUGCCUCGCUGUACUCUGUUUAUGCCGCGUCUCCUGGCAGUGCGACGGCUAUAUAUGCUGGUGUCGCCGGAUGCCCUCAGCCGUGUGUGCGAUUACGACCUGAAGCGAGAGAUGCAGUUCAGGAAAGGCGCUGUAGAGGGGCUACGCACGGCAUGCAGCCGCGCUGUCUUACACAGUUGCAAGUGACUGUUCUCGCUCGAAUCAUCAGUGGUGGUCUGGCGCUUUCUGCUAUCGUCUUGUCUGCUGCUACUGCCUUAGCGGGCACCUUCACCGGUGGCUGCGAAAGAAAGGAAGGACAUCGAAGAGGUGACGGCGUGGGCGGGCGCAGCCGGUGUUCUCGUGUUCACUCUUUGCCUACGAUGGCUGACGUAGCGGGCGCAGGGAUGGCGGCUCAUCAUCAUUUCUCUCCCUCUCUCUGUGUCUUGCAUGCUUUGGCACUUGUCUUUGCAGGUUGCCGAGGGCGGCGCUGCAUCAGCAAAAGGAUCCGCAGCAGUGGCACAACAGUGGCGAAGGGGAGAGCGGGAACCACGAAAAAAAGAAAAGGCAACGGAAGGGAGCACGAUAUUCAUGCCCGCACCUCGGCUACAAGGGCGCAGCGUGAUGCUCGCAUUCGUCGUUCUGUAGCAUGUGUGUCGGGAAGUAGCUGCUUGCCCAUAGUACGUUCGCGCGUGCGCUUUUUCUAUGUUGAAGGAUACAUGCGCAGCACUGCGCGCCGCGUUGGGGGAAAGUGAAGAGAGAGAAUGGAGAGGAGCAGCGACGCUUCCCUCGCACCCCUCUACUCUCCGCAAGUCUUGCCUCGCCGUCUCUUUCCGCGACGAGCACCACACCCCCACCCCCGCUGAUCUCGUAGUGAGUAGUCGCUUCACAAGCUCAUAACUCUCACGGCUCUCUCUAUCUCUUUCUCCCUCGCAUUCACUCUCUCUGAGCACCGGCCCAUUCUCCUCGCAG
Molecule: unclassified non-coding RNA, 2877 nt
Filed under: Leishmania donovani
Lineage: Eukaryota; Euglenozoa; Kinetoplastea; Trypanosomatida; Trypanosomatidae
Description: gene:unknown
Source: RNAcentral